This 85-nucleotide transfer RNA is filed under the name Helicobacter japonicus. RNAcentral's name for it is "tRNA-Leu". It matches the Rfam family "tRNA". Rfam says of the family: Transfer RNA (tRNA) molecules are approximately 80 nucleotides in length. Their secondary structure includes four short double-helical elements and three loops (D, anti-codon, and T loops). Lineage: Bacteria; Pseudomonadati; Campylobacterota; Epsilonproteobacteria; Campylobacterales; Helicobacteraceae. The record is from RNAcentral.
GCGCUGGUGGUGGAAUUGGUAGACACACCAUCUUGAGGGGGUGGCGGGGCAACCCGUGCGAGUUCAAGUCUCGCUCAGCGCACCA